RNAcentral lists this ribosomal RNA (429 nucleotides) under Acidobacteriota bacterium. RNAcentral's name for it is "Acidobacteria bacterium partial 16S ribosomal RNA". It matches the Rfam family "Bacterial small subunit ribosomal RNA", at positions 355 to 776 of the family's 1533-position model. The record is from RNAcentral. Lineage: Bacteria; Pseudomonadati; Acidobacteriota.
UGGGGAAUUUUGGACAAUGGGGGAAACCCUGAUCCAGCCAUCCCGCGUGUGCGAUGAAGGCCUUCGGGUUGUAAAGCACUUUUGGCAGGAAAGAAACGUCAUGGGUUAAUACCCCGUGAAACUGACGGUACCUGCAGAAUAAGCACCGGCUAACUACGUGCCAGCAGCCGCGGUAAUACGUAGGGUGCAAGCGUUAAUCGGAAUUACUGGGCGUAAAGCGUGCGCAGGCGGUUCGGAAAGAAAGAUGUGAAAUCCCAGAGCUCAACUUUGGAACUGCAUUUUUAACUACCGGGCUAGAGUGUGUCAGAGUGAGGUGGAAUUCCGCGUGUGGCAGUGAAAUGCGUAGAUAUGCGGAGGAACACCGAUGGCGAAGGCAGCCUCCUGGGAUAACACUGACGCUCAUGCACGAAAGCGUGGGGAGCAAACAGG